AUACGUAGGGGGCGAGCGUUGUCCGGAAUGAUUGGGCGUAAAGGGCGCGUAGGCGGCGCGGUAAGUCUGGAGUGAAAGUCCUGCUUUCAAGGUGGGAAUUGCUUUGGAUACUGCCGCGCUUGAGUGCAGGAGAGGUUAUCGGAAUUCCCGGUGUAGCGGUGAAAUGCGUAGAGAUCGGGAGGAACACCAGUGGCGAAGGCGGGUAACUGGACUGCAACUGACGCUGAGGCGCGAAAGUGUGGGGAGCAAACAGGAUUAGAUACCCUGGUAGUCCACACUGUAAACGAUGAAUGCUAGGUGUAAGAGGUAUCGACCCCUUUUGUGCCGGAGUCAACACGAUAAGCAUUCCGCCUGGGGAGUACGGCCGCAAGGUUGAAACUCAAAGGAAUUGACGGGG
RNAcentral lists this ribosomal RNA (397 nucleotides) under uncultured bacterium. RNAcentral describes it as "partial 16S ribosomal RNA". It matches the Rfam family "Bacterial small subunit ribosomal RNA", at positions 523 to 918 of the family's 1533-position model. The record is from RNAcentral.